CAAUAGCGUAUAUUAAAGUUGUUGCAGUUAAAAAGCUCGUAGUCGGAUUUUGGCAUCAUGCCGAACUGUCAGCCGAUUGGUUUGUACGGUUUGGCGGGUGCUCUCCUUCCGGAGGCUCGUUUCCUCUUUCAUUAGAGGGUUCGAUGGUUCCGGGUCUUUUACUUUGAAAAAAUUAGAGUGUUCAAAGCAGGCCUAUGCUCUGAAUAGGUUAGCAUGGAAUAAUAAAAUAGGACUUUGGUUCUGUUUUGUUGGUUGGAGACCAAGGUAAUGAUUAAUAGGGAUAGUUGGGGGUAUUCAUAUUUAAUUGUCAGAGGUGAAAUUCUUGGAUUUAUGAAAGAUGAACUUAUGCGAAAGCAUUUACCAAGGAUGUUUUCAUUAAUCAAGAACGAAAGUUAGGGGAUCGAAGAUGAUUAGAUACCAU
This 421-nucleotide ribosomal RNA is filed under the name uncultured eukaryote. RNAcentral describes it as "bacterial SSU rRNA". It matches the Rfam family "Eukaryotic small subunit ribosomal RNA", at positions 592 to 1018 of the family's 1831-position model. The record is from RNAcentral.